This 538-nucleotide ribosomal RNA is filed under the name Bifidobacterium adolescentis. Its description in RNAcentral is "partial 16S ribosomal RNA". It matches the Rfam family "Bacterial small subunit ribosomal RNA", at positions 160 to 708 of the family's 1533-position model. The record is from RNAcentral. Lineage: Bacteria; Bacillati; Actinomycetota; Actinomycetes; Bifidobacteriales; Bifidobacteriaceae.
GUGGUAAUGCCGGAUGCUCCAGUUGACCGCAUGGUCCUCUGGGAAAGCUUUUGCGGUAUGGGAUGGGGUCGCGUCCUAUCAGCUUGAUGGCGGGGUAACGGCCCACCAUGGCUUCGACGGGUAGCCGGCCUGAGAGGGCGACCGGCCACAUUGGGACUGAGAUACGGCCCAGACUCCUACGGGAGGCAGCAGUGGGGAAUAUUGCACAAUGGGCGCAAGCCUGAUGCAGCGACGCCGCGUGCGGGAUGACGGCCUUCGGGUUGUAAACCGCUUUUGACUGGGAGCAAGCCCUUCGGGGUGAGUGUACCUUUCGAAUAAGCACCGGCUAACUACGUGCCAGCAGCCGCGGUAAUACGUAGGGUGCAAGCGUUAUCCGGAAUUAUUGGGCGUAAAGGGCUCGUAGGCGGUUCGUCGCGUCCGGUGUGAAAGUCCAUCGCUUAACGGUGGAUCCGCGCCGGGUACGGGCGGGCUUGAGUGCGGUAGGGGAGACUGGAAUUCCCGGUGUAACGGUGGAAUGUGUAGAUAUCGGAAAAGAACA